RNAcentral lists this small RNA (29 nucleotides) under Bombyx mori (domestic silkworm). RNAcentral describes it as "ovarian small RNA-10209". Lineage: Eukaryota; Metazoa; Arthropoda; Insecta; Lepidoptera; Bombycidae. The record is from RNAcentral.
AACACAACUCACCUGCUUGAGCGGCUUAC